Molecule: ribosomal RNA, 538 nt
Filed under: Lepidophyma occulor
Lineage: Eukaryota; Metazoa; Chordata; Lepidosauria; Squamata; Xantusiidae
Description: partial 16S ribosomal RNA
Rfam family: Bacterial large subunit ribosomal RNA
Source: RNAcentral
CAAAAACAUAGCCUAUAGCCAUACUAGUAUUAUAGGUGUAACCUGCCCAGUGAAACACACUUUUAAACGGCCGCGGUAUCCUAACCGUGCAAAGGUAGCGCAAUCACUUGUCCCCUAAAUAGGGACUUGAAUGAAUGGUUCAAUGAGGAUUUACCUGUCUCCUACACCCAAUCAAUGAAACUGAUUUCCAGGUACAAAAGCCUGGAUAACCUCAUAAGACGAGAAGACCCUGUGGAGCUUUAAACUAUCAAUUACCAACACUAAUUACCUGUUUUAAGUUGGGGCAACUUUGGAAAUAAAAUAACUUCCAAGACAAAGGCCCAAAGCCUAACUAAGGUCUACAUACCAAAGUAAACUCAUGACCCAGUAAUACUGAUCAACGAACUAAGUUACCCCAGGGAUAACAGCGCCAUCUUUCUCUAGAGUUCAUAUCGACAGGAAGGAUUACGACCUCGAUGUUGGAUCAGGACAUCCAAGUGGUGCAGCCGCCACUAAAGGCUCGUUCGUUCAACGAUUAAAGUCCUACGUGAUCUGAGUU